The sequence is a small nuclear RNA, 191 nucleotides long. Its record names the gene U2. It matches the Rfam family "U2 spliceosomal RNA". Rfam says of the family: U2 is a small nuclear RNA (snRNA) component of the spliceosome (involved in pre-mRNA splicing). The record is from Ensembl.
AACUGACCUUCACCAAAAGGCCAAGAGGCGAAUGUAGUAGCUAUUCCUACCAGUUUAUAUCUGAAAGAUCCUCUAUCUAAGGACAAUAUAUUAAAUGGGUUUGGGGAACUAGGAAAUCAAAUAGGAACUUGCUCCAUCCAUUCAAUGCCUUGACUUGGUUUUGCAUUUCUUCCAGGAAGGGUGUAUCCCCU